CAAUUUUUAUUAUUAGAAUAUUUAUUUAUUGUGGCGUGUAACUUUCGUAGUUGAAUAUUUCGGUAUUUAUGAGUUUAGACUUAAACUGCUAACUAGAGUAAUUAAUAGAUGAGAAUUUCUUUAUGGAGCUUUAGGUGAGUUGUGCCUAAAAUAAAUAGAAUGAGUAUUAUGUUAGUAAGUUAGUAGAAUGGGGGGUGUGAAUUGGAAUUUUGUAGAAAACCUAACUAUAAAAGCUAGUUAGUAAGAGAAAGAGUCAUUAUUCACAUUUCUUAGGGAAGUUAGAAAGAGAGGCUCUAGAAACAAAGGGAGGAAGAAACGAAGAAGUGAGAACCAAGCUCAAAGAACAACCAAGCUUCCAUUUUUCAAGCUUCAUUAGAGGUAUGAGGGUAGUUUUAUAAUCUUUGAGGUGAAUUAAUGGAGAGGAGAGAAGUAUCCUUCUCUAGCUCAAACUCUUCUCAUCUCUUUUUCAUUUUGGGUUAGUUAUGAGAUUUGGGAAUAUGUUAAUCAUGAAAUUUAUGUUAUGAUAUAUGAUUAUCUAUGUGUGUUCAUGA
This 551-nucleotide long non-coding RNA is filed under the name Trifolium pratense (red clover). RNAcentral describes it as "long non-coding RNA (TPRA_LNC010093)". Lineage: Eukaryota; Viridiplantae; Streptophyta; Magnoliopsida; Fabales; Fabaceae. The record is from RNAcentral.